CCUACGGGUGGCAGCAGUGAGGAAUAUUGGUCAAUGGCCGGAAGGCUGAACCAGCCAAGCCGCGUGCGGGAGGGAGGCGCAGUGCGUCGCAGACCUCUUUUGCCGGGGGACAAAAGGCCGGACUCGUCCGGUCCUGUGGGUACCCGGUGAAAAAGCAUCGGCUAACUCCGUGCCAGCAGCCGCGGUAAUACGGAGGUGGCAAGCGUUGUCCGGAAUUACUGGGUGUAAAGGGAGCGCAGGCGGGAAGCCAAGUCAGCUGUGAAAAGUACGGGCUUAACUUGUAGACUGCAGUUGAAACUGGCUUUCUUGAGUGAAGUGGAGGUUGGCGGAAUUCGUGGUGUAGCGGUGAAAUGCUUAGAUAUUCGGAGGAACACCGGUGGCGAAGGCAGCCAACUGGGCUUUAACUGACGCUGAGGCUCGAAGGUGUGGGUAGCAAACAGGAUUAGAUACCCUAGUAGUC
This 460-nucleotide ribosomal RNA is filed under the name uncultured bacterium. RNAcentral's name for it is "partial 16S ribosomal RNA". It matches the Rfam family "Bacterial small subunit ribosomal RNA", at positions 338 to 795 of the family's 1533-position model. The record is from RNAcentral.